RNAcentral lists this ribosomal RNA (513 nucleotides) under uncultured bacterium. RNAcentral describes it as "bacterial SSU rRNA". It matches the Rfam family "Bacterial small subunit ribosomal RNA", at positions 153 to 651 of the family's 1533-position model. The record is from RNAcentral.
GAAAGGAAUGCUAAUACCGCGUAAGACCACACCUACUACGGUAGGAGCGGUUAAAGGUGCCUCAAAGCACCACCAGAGGAUGAGCCUGCGUCCCAUCAGCUUGUUGGUAAGGUAACGGCUUACCAAGGCGAAGACGGGUAGCUGGUCUGAGAGGAUGAUCAGCCACACUGGUACUGGAACACGGACCAGACUCCUACGGGAGGCAGCAGUGAGGAAUAUUGGGCAAUGGGCGCAAGCCUGACCCAGCCACGCCGCGUGUGUGAUGAAGGCCUUCGGGUCGUAAAGCACUGUGGGGAGAGACGAAACAGCGCAUCAGGAAAUGGUUGCGCCUUGACGGUACCUCCUUAGCAAGCACCGGCUAACUCUGUGCCAGCAGCCGCGGUAAUACAGAGGGUGCAAACGUUGCUCGGAUUUACUGGGCGUAAAGCGCGUGUAGGCGGACUCGCAAGUCGGUUGUGAAAUCCCUGGGCUCAACCUAGGAACUGCAUCCGAAACUGCUUGUCUUGAGUAAUG